CAAUAAUAGAGACAUGUAAAGCCUCUUAUUUUCUAAAAAGCAGUGAUCAGGUCUUUUGCAGCAUUAAGCGAAUGUCAUAAAAUAGACUUCUUGGUCUCCCGUGCUUAGUCCGGCGGGACCUCCCACGCGCUUACAGAGGGCCCCGUUCUCCCCCCCCGUGGGCCGGGGGGGUUAUCCCGGACCCCACCGGGGAGGCAGUGACCACCCACGACUCCUGAGCGGCGAACCGAGCAGCCAGAGAUCGCAUGGUGAAAACCAAAAUGGCCGCCGCGUCCAUCACAAGCUGGAGAAUGGCGGCAGCCAUGGAGCAACGAACCGAAAGACGCCUACCAGACGACUCUAAGGAGCGCACAACCAGCCUGCACACACAACUCAUGCCAGCAUUGUUGAAGGCAACAUCUCACAUGGUAACCGGCAGGGACUCACUUGGGACUAUAACCCUAAAUAAGAGAGGAGCGCCAGACAAGAGACACAAGCUCCCUUAUUAUACCUGAGUAUACUAUGUCAUACUGUCAUGCCUAGAACUAGUGCAAUUGCGCCUAGCCGGUAGACCCACAUGUACAUCAACAAAGUUAUUAAGCAUACCUGCCUGUUUAACCGGCUAACUCAGAGACUCGCUGCUCCCUGGUGGUCAAAAAGCUAAAUUUAAGCAAUGAAGAAAUCUAAAUCAUAUAUUACGUCUAGAUAUACUACGAAGCUACUUGUUAAUCAAAGUAUUAUAUAAAAAAUGUGCACGUUACUCAAUAACCU
Non-coding RNA from Pelobates cultripes (western spadefoot toad), 750 nucleotides. The record is from the annotation of a GenBank genome assembly. Lineage: Eukaryota; Metazoa; Chordata; Amphibia; Anura; Pelobatidae.